This 274-nucleotide ribosomal RNA is filed under the name uncultured bacterium. RNAcentral describes it as "partial 16S ribosomal RNA". It matches the Rfam family "Bacterial small subunit ribosomal RNA", at positions 523 to 796 of the family's 1533-position model. The record is from RNAcentral.
AUACAGAGGGUGCGAGCGUUAAUCGGAAUUACUGGGCGUAAAGCGCGCGUAGGCGGCUUAUUAAGUCAGAUGUGAAAUCCCCGGGCUCAACCUGGGAACUGCAUCUGAUACUGGUAAGCUAGAGUUUUGGAGAGGGAAGUAGAAUUUCAGGUGUAGAGGUGAAAUGCAUAGAGAUCUGAAGGAAUACCAGUGGCGAAGGAGACUUCCUGGCCAAAAACUGACGCUGAGGUGCGAAAGCGUGGGUAGCAAACGGGAUUAGAAACCCUAGUAGUCC